AGGAAGGUGGGGAUGACGUCAAAUCAGCACGGCCCUUACGUCCAGGGCUACACACGUGCUACAAUAGCCGGUACAAAGGGCAGCUACCUGGUGACAGGAUGCUAAUACUCAAAGCCGGUCUCAGUUCGGAUCGGAGUCUGCAACCCGACUCCGUGAAGACUGGAAUCGCUAGUAAUCGUAGAUCAGCACGCUACGGUGAAUACGUUCCCGGGCCUU
This 216-nucleotide ribosomal RNA is filed under the name uncultured Marinilabiliaceae bacterium. RNAcentral describes it as "partial 16S ribosomal RNA". It matches the Rfam family "Bacterial small subunit ribosomal RNA", at positions 1167 to 1382 of the family's 1533-position model. The record is from RNAcentral. Lineage: Bacteria; Pseudomonadati; Bacteroidota; Bacteroidia; Marinilabiliales; Marinilabiliaceae.